CUGGACUUUUGUGUGUUGAUUCAG
Molecule: non-coding RNA, 24 nt
Filed under: Arabidopsis thaliana (thale cress)
Lineage: Eukaryota; Viridiplantae; Streptophyta; Magnoliopsida; Brassicales; Brassicaceae
Source: RNAcentral